Molecule: transfer RNA, 69 nt
Filed under: Osteobrama cotio cotio
Lineage: Eukaryota; Metazoa; Chordata; Actinopteri; Cypriniformes; Cyprinidae
Also listed under: 1 other name
Description: tRNA-Met
Source: RNAcentral
GGCAAAGUCAGCUAAUAAAGCUUUCGGGCCCAUACCCCGAACAUGACGGUUAAAGUCCAUCCUAUGCUA